AUGGAAAAUUUUGCACGGGCUCUCAGGUUGAGAUGGAUUUGGAUCAGAUGGACCACAUCAAAAAUUCCAAUCAUUGGCGCAUAUGGCCCUUGCGAUGAUGAGGACUUCGCGGUCUUUGCAAGCGCCACGCGAGUGACCAUCGGUGAUGGCAAGACCGCGCUGUUUUGGAAAGACGCGUGGCUGGACGGCAUGCCACGGGAUGUUGCGCCAGCGUUGUUUGCUGCCUCUUCACGGAAAGGAAGAACUGUUUGCGAUGCUCUUUUACGGGGUAAUUGGCUGCAUGAUCUCGAGCGACAAUGGCAAGAUGAUAUGACUGAAGAAUUCAUUCAGCUAUCUGCAUUAUUGGAGCAAAGCGUGCUAAACCCCUCUGUUAGUGACUCCAUCACUUGGAAGCUGACCAACGAUGGCUUAUACACAUCCAGCUCAGCCUACCACUUCCAGUUCGAGGGGAUGGUCAAAUCCGAUAUUUACAGCACAGUAUGGCGAAGUUGGGCUCCUGCCAAAUGCAAGCUUUUCCUUUGGAUGGCCAUGCAACACAAAAUCCUCACUGCGGAUGUGCUUCUAAGGAGAGGAUGGGAGAAUAAUUAUUUAUGUCCAUUAUGCAUGCGUUGUCUAGAAACAGCCGUGCACCUUCUUUCUGAAUGUUCUUGGUCUCGAAAGGUGUGGGAAGCCAUUGCCACGAUGGCAGGACAGCGAUCAUUGCUGCCCUCGACAUGGAACAUGGAGACUACUUUCGUCGAAUGGCUACAGGGACUUAAUAACCAAUGCACUGAUGCAACUCAAGCAAAAGGUGUGCAGGCGCUAGCAACAAUAAUCUGUUGGGAAAUUUGGCUAGAACGCAACAGAAGAAUCUUCAACAACAAAAAACUACCGGUGCCGAGGAUCAUAAACUGAAUCCGAGAUGAAGCUGCAAUAUCGAAACUAGCAAGUUGCCCAAUCCCGUUUGACCCAGGCUGA
Molecule: ribosomal RNA, 957 nt
Filed under: Triticum aestivum (bread wheat)
Lineage: Eukaryota; Viridiplantae; Streptophyta; Magnoliopsida; Poales; Poaceae
Description: partial small subunit ribosomal RNA
Source: RNAcentral